RNAcentral lists this ribosomal RNA (90 nucleotides) under Brassica rapa (field mustard). Its description in RNAcentral is "rRNA 5_8S_rRNA". It matches the Rfam family "5.8S ribosomal RNA". Rfam says of the family: 5.8S ribosomal RNA (5.8S rRNA) is a component of the large subunit of the eukaryotic ribosome. It is transcribed by RNA polymerase I as part of the 45S precursor that also contains 18S and 28S rRNA. Lineage: Eukaryota; Viridiplantae; Streptophyta; Magnoliopsida; Brassicales; Brassicaceae. The record is from RNAcentral.
GACUCUUGACAAUGGAUAUCUCGGCUCUCGCAUUUGAACGCAAGUUGCGCCCCAAGCCUUCUGGCCGAGGGCACGUCUGCCUGGGUGUCA